GCCUUCGUGGUGUAAUGGUCAGCACACUGAGCCGGUAUUUCAGAGGUCCGUGGUUCGAUCCCCGGCUAAGGCA
Molecule: transfer RNA, 73 nt
Filed under: Stegodyphus mimosarum
Lineage: Eukaryota; Metazoa; Arthropoda; Arachnida; Araneae; Eresidae
Rfam family: tRNA
About the family: Transfer RNA (tRNA) molecules are approximately 80 nucleotides in length. Their secondary structure includes four short double-helical elements and three loops (D, anti-codon, and T loops).
Source: Rfam by way of RNAcentral